Molecule: ribosomal RNA, 253 nt
Filed under: uncultured bacterium
Lineage: Bacteria
Description: partial 16S ribosomal RNA
Rfam family: Bacterial small subunit ribosomal RNA
Source: RNAcentral
UACGUAGGUGGCAAGCGUUAUCCGGAUUCACUGGGUUUAAAGGGUGCGUAGGCGGAUAUGUAAGUCCGUGGUGAAAUCUCUGGGCUUAACCCGGAAACUGCCAUGGAUACUAUGUGUCUUGAAUGUUGUUGAGGUGAGCGGAAUAUGUCAUGUAGCGGUGAAAUGCUUAGAUAUGACAUAGAACACCAAUUGCGAAGGCAGCUCACUAAGCAAAUAUUGACGCUGAGGCACGAAAGCGUGGGGAUCAAACAGG